AUGUGGAAAGCAUAAGCCGGGAAUGGAAAGACCGGUACAAGCGAGGUAGGUGUGUGACAGGCAAAUCCGUCAUAUAAGCCGAAGACGUGAUGUGGAGCGAAAUUUAGUAGUGAAGUAUGUGAGCCAUGUGCCGAGAAAAGCCGCUAUUGUUUUAUAUGUGCCCGUACCGUAAACCGACACAGGUGGAUGAGGAGAAAAUCCUAAGGCCGACGGAAGAAGCAUUGUUAAGGAAUUCGGCAAAAUGACCCCGUAACUUCGGGAGAAGGGGUGCCCACUGAAUGGUGGGCCGCAGAGAAUAGGCUCAAGCAACUGUUUAGCAAAAACACAGGUCUAUGCGAAACCGAAAGGUGAAGUAUAUGGGCUGACGCCUGCCCGGUGCUGGAAGGUUAAGAGGAGAGGUUAGCGUAAGCGAAGCUUUGAAUUUAAGCCCCAGUAAACGGCGGCCGUAACAAUAACGGUCCUAAGGUAGCGAAAUUCCUUGUCGGGUAAGUUCCGACCCGCACGAAAGGCGUAAUGAUUUGAGCACUGUCUCGACAAUGCAUCCGGUGAAAUUGAAGUACCAGUGAAGAUGCUGGUUACCCGCGCCAGGACGGAAAGACCCCAUGGAGCUUUACUCCAGUUUGAUACUGGGAUUCGGUACUGCACGUACAGGAUAGGUGGGAGACUGAGAACUAUGGACGCCAGUCUGUAGGGAGUCGCUGUUGGGAUACCACCCCUGUAGUACUGGGUUUCUAACCAUCUGCCGUGAUCCGGCAGUGGGACAAUGUCAGGCGGGGAGUUUGACUGGGGCGGUCGCCUCCGAAAGGGUAUCGGAGGCGCUCAAAGGUUCCCUCAGAAUGGUCGGAAACCAUUCGAAGAGUGCAAAGGCAGAAGGGAGCUUGACUGCGACACCGACGGGUGGAGCAGGUACGAAAGUAGGACUUAGUGAUCCGGUGGUAUAAAGUGGGAUUGCCAUCGCUCAACGGAUAAAAGCUACCCUGGGAUAACAGGCUUAUCACUCCCAAGAGUUCACAUCGACGGAGUGGUUUGGCACCUCGAUGUCGGCUCAUCGCAUCCUGGGGCUGUAGCAGGUCCCAAGGGUUGGGCUGUUCGCCCAUUAAAGCGGUACGCGAGCUGGGUUCAGAACGUCGUGAGACAGUUCGGUCCCUAUCCGGCGCGGGCGGAGGAUAUUUGAGAGGAGCUGUCCUUAGUACGAGAGGACCGGGAUGGACGGACCACUGGUGUAUCUGUUGUCGACCAACGGCAUGGCAGAGUAGCCAAGUCCGGAAGGGAUAAACGCUGAAGGCAUCUAAGCGUGAAGCCCCCCUCAAGAUGAGAUAUCCCUCCUUCGGGAGUAAGACCCCUUGAAGACUACAAGGUAGAUAGGGCAGAGGUGGAAGUGUGGCAACACAUGGAGCUGACUGUUACUAAUAGGUCGAGGGCUUGAU
This 1427-nucleotide ribosomal RNA is filed under the name metagenome. RNAcentral describes it as "bacterial LSU rRNA". It matches the Rfam family "Bacterial large subunit ribosomal RNA", at positions 1476 to 2925 of the family's 2925-position model. The record is from RNAcentral.